UGCAAGUCGACGAACCUUCGGGUUAGUGGCGGACGGGUGAGUAACGCGUGAGAAUCUGCCCUCAGGAGGGGGAUAACGGUUGGAAACGACCGCUAAUACCCCAUAUGCCUACUGGUGAAAUGAAUUUCGCCUGAGGAUGAGCUCGCGUCUGAUUAGCUAGUUGGUGAGGUAAUGGCUCACCAAGGCUUCGAUCAGUAGCUGGUCUGAGAGGAUGAUCAGCCACACUGGGACUGAGACACGGCCCAGACUCCUACGGGAGGCAGCAGUGGGGAAUUUUCCGCAAUGGGCGAAAGCCUGACGGAGCAACGCCGCGUGAGGGACGAAGGCCUCUGGGCUGUAAACCUCUUUUCUCAAGGAAGAAGAUAUGACGGUACUUGAGGAAUAAGCCACGGCUAAUUCCGUGCCAGCAGCCGCGGUAAUACGGGAGUGGCAAGCGUUAUCCGGAAUUAUUGGGCGUAAAGCGUCCGCAGGCGGCUUUUCAAGUCUGCUGUUAAAGCGUGGAGCUUAACUCCAUCAUGGCAGUGGAAACUGAAAGGCUUGAGUAUGGUAGGGGCAGAGGGAAUUCCCGGUGUAGCGGUGAAAUGCGUAGAUAUCGGGAAGAACACCAGUGGCGAAGGCGCUCUGCUGGGCCAUUACUGACGCUCAUGGACGAAAGCCAGGGGAGCGAAAGGGAUUAGAUACCCCUGUAGUCCUGGCCGUAAACGAUGAACACUAGGUGUCGGGGGAAUCGACCCCUUCGGUGUCGUAGCUAACGCGUUAAGUGUUCCGCCUGGGGAGUACGCACGCAAGUGUGAAACUCAAAGGAAUUGACGGGGCCCGCACAAGCGGUGGAGUAUGUGGUUUAAUUCGAUGCAACGCGAAGAACCUUACCAGGGUUUGACAUCCUGCGAACCUCUUAGAAAUUUGAGGGUGCCUUCGGGAAUGCAGUGACAGG
Molecule: ribosomal RNA, 934 nt
Filed under: uncultured bacterium
Lineage: Bacteria
Description: bacterial SSU rRNA
Rfam family: Bacterial small subunit ribosomal RNA
Source: RNAcentral